GUACACUCCUGCGGGAGGCAGCAGUGGGGAAUAUUGGACAAUGGGCGCAAGCCUGAUCCAGCCAUGCCGCGUGAGUGAUGAAGGCCCUAGGGUUGUAAAGCUCUUUCACCGGUGAAGAUAAUGACGGUAACCGGAGAAGAAGCCCCGGCUAACUUCGUGCCAGCAGCCGCGGUAAUACGAAGGGGGCUAGCGUUGUUCGGAUUUACUGGGCGUAAAGCGCACGUAGGCGGACUAUUAAGUCAGGGGUGAAAUCCCGGGGCUCAACCCCGGAACUGCCUUUGAUACUGGUAGUCUUGAGUUCGAGAGAGGUGAGUGGAAUUCCGAGUGUAGAGGUGAAAUUCGUAGAUAUUCGGAGGAACACCAGUGGCGAAGGCGGCUCACUGGCUCGAUACUGACGCUGAGGUGCGAAAGCGUGGGGAGCAAACAGGAUUAGAUACCCCAGUAGUCCCAU
RNAcentral lists this ribosomal RNA (451 nucleotides) under uncultured organism. RNAcentral describes it as "partial 16S ribosomal RNA". It matches the Rfam family "Bacterial small subunit ribosomal RNA", at positions 331 to 798 of the family's 1533-position model. The record is from RNAcentral.